CGUAGGGUGCGAGCGUUAAUCGGAAUUACUGGGCGUAAAGUGUGCGCAGGUGGCCGCGCAGUGUCGAGUGUGAAAUCCCCGGGCUUAACUUGGGAAUUGCGCUCGAAACUACGUGGCUAGAGUGUGGCAGAGGAAGUGGAAUUCCACGUGGUAGCGGUGAAAUGCGUAGAGAUGUGGAGGAACACCGAUGGCGAAGGCAGCCUUCUGGGCCAACACUGACGCUCAUGCACGAAAGCGUGGGGAGCAAACAGGAUUAGAUACCCUGGUAGUCCACGCCCUAAACGAUGAUGACUAGUUGUUGGAGGAGUUAAAUCCUUUAGUAACGCAGCUAACGCGUGAAGUCAUCCGCCUGGGGAGUACGGUCGCAAGAUUA
RNAcentral lists this ribosomal RNA (373 nucleotides) under uncultured organism. Its description in RNAcentral is "bacterial SSU rRNA". It matches the Rfam family "Bacterial small subunit ribosomal RNA", at positions 526 to 896 of the family's 1533-position model. The record is from RNAcentral.